GAUGAACGCUGGCGGCGUGCCUAAUACAUGCAAGUCGAGCGAACGGACGAGAAGCUUGCUUCUCUGAUGUUAGCGGCGGACGGGUGAGUAACACGUGGAUAACCUACCUAUAAGACUGGGAUAACUUCGGGAAACCGGAUCUAAUACCGGAUAAUAUUUUGAACCGCAUGGUUCAAAAGUGAAAUACGGCCUUGCUGUCACUUAUCGAUGGAUCCGCGCUGCAUUAGCUAGUUGUGAAGUUAACGGCUUACCAAGGCAACGAUGCAUAGCCGACCUGAGAGGGUGAUAGGCCACACUGGAGCUGAGACACGGUCCAGACUCCUACGGGAGGCAGCAGUAGGGAAUCUUCCGCAAUGGGCGAAAGCAUGACGGAGCAACGCGGCGUGAGUGAUGAAGGUCUUCGGAGCGUAAAGCUCUGUUAUUAGGGAAGAACAUAUGUGUAAGUAACUGUGCACAUCUUGACGGUACCUAAUCAGAAAGCCACGGCUAACUACGUG
RNAcentral lists this ribosomal RNA (497 nucleotides) under uncultured bacterium. Its description in RNAcentral is "partial 16S ribosomal RNA". It matches the Rfam family "Bacterial small subunit ribosomal RNA", at positions 28 to 507 of the family's 1533-position model. The record is from RNAcentral.